Molecule: ribosomal RNA, 301 nt
Filed under: uncultured bacterium
Lineage: Bacteria
Description: partial 16S ribosomal RNA
Rfam family: Bacterial small subunit ribosomal RNA
Source: RNAcentral
CAGUCGCCACGGUAAUACGGAGGGUGCAAGCGUUAUCCGGAUUUAUUGGGUUUAAAGGGUCCGUAGGCGGACUUAUAAGUCAGUGGUGAAAGCCUGUCGCUUAACGAUAGAACUGCCAUUGAUACUGUAAGUCUUGAGUAUAGUUGAGGUAGCUGGAAUAAGUAGUGUAGCGGUGAAAUGCAUAGAUAUUACUUAGAACACCAAUUGCGAAGGCAGGUUACCAAGAUAUAACUGACGCUGAGGGACGAAAGCGUGGGUAGCGAACAGGAUUAGAUACCCCCGUAGUCCCUGUCUCUUAUAC